GAUGAACGCUGACAGAAUGCUUAACACAUGCAAGUCCACUUGAACUUCGGUUUGGGUGGCGGACGGGUGAGUAACGCGUAAAGAACUUGCCUCACAGCUAGGGACAACAUUUGGAAACGAAUGCUAAUACCUGAUAUUAUGAUUAUAUGGCAUCGUAUAAUUAUGAAAGCUAUAUGCGCUGUGAGAGAGCUUAGCGUCCCAUUAGCUAGUUGGAGAGGUAACAGCUCACCAAGGCGAUGAUGGGUAGCCGGCCUGAGAGGGUGAUCGGCCACAAGGGGACUGAGACACGGCCCUUACUCCUACGGGAGGUAGCAGUGGGGAAUAUUGGACAAUGGACCGAGAGUCUGAUCCAGCAAUUCUGUGUGCACGAUGAAGUUUUUCGGAAUGUAAAGUGCUUUCAGUUGGGAAGAAAAAAAUGACGGUACCAACAGAAGAAGAGACGGCUAAAUACGUG
RNAcentral lists this ribosomal RNA (454 nucleotides) under uncultured bacterium. Its description in RNAcentral is "partial 16S ribosomal RNA". It matches the Rfam family "Bacterial small subunit ribosomal RNA", at positions 28 to 507 of the family's 1533-position model. The record is from RNAcentral.